RNAcentral lists this ribosomal RNA (311 nucleotides) under Chlorella vulgaris. Its description in RNAcentral is "SSU rRNA". It matches the Rfam family "Eukaryotic small subunit ribosomal RNA", at positions 626 to 944 of the family's 1831-position model. Lineage: Eukaryota; Viridiplantae; Chlorophyta; Trebouxiophyceae; Chlorellales; Chlorellaceae. The record is from RNAcentral.
GCUCGUAGUUGGAUUUCGGGUGGGUUCUAGCGGUCCGCCUAUGGUGAGUACUGCUAUGGCCUUCCUUUCUGUCGGGGACGGGCUUCUGGGCUUCACUGUCCGGGACUCGGAGUCGACGUGGUUACUUUGAGUAAAUUAGAGUGUUCAAAGCAGGCUUACGCCCUGAAUACUUUAGCAUGGAAUAACACGAUAGGACUCUGGCCUAUCUUGUUGGUCUGUAGGACUGGAGUAAUGAUUAAGAGGGACAGUCGGGGGCAUUCGUAUUUCAUUGUCAGAGGUGAAAUUCUUGGAUUUAUGAAAGACAAACUACU